CAAUUUGCGCUUGGGGCAAUGACGCAGCUAAUGAGGUACUAACCGAGGCGCGUCUAUUUCUGGUUGAAAACUAUUUCCAAACCCCCUCCUGGGCCUAAGCUUGUCUUGGUCGCUCGAGAAUUUCUGGAAGGUCUCUGAAAUGGAA
Molecule: small nuclear RNA, 145 nt
Filed under: Brassica oleracea var. oleracea
Lineage: Eukaryota; Viridiplantae; Streptophyta; Magnoliopsida; Brassicales; Brassicaceae
Description: snRNA U4
Rfam family: U4 spliceosomal RNA
About the family: U4 small nuclear RNA (U4 snRNA) is a component of the major U2-dependent spliceosome. The structure of U4 snRNA from yeast and human has been reported.
Source: Rfam by way of RNAcentral